GAGUUUGAUCAUGGCUCAGAUUGAACGCUGGCGGCAUGCCUUACACAUGCAAGUCGAACGGCAGCACGGGAGCUUGCUCCUGGGUGGCGAGUGGCGAACGGGGUGAGUAAUGCAUCGGAACGUAUCCUGGAGUGGGGGAUAACGUAGCGAAAGUUACGCUAAUACCGCAUAUUCUGUGAGCAGGAAAGCGGGGGACCUUCGGGCCUCGCGCUCUUGGAGCGGCCGAUGUCGGAUUAGCUAGUUGGUGAGGUAAAGGCUCACCAAGGCGACGAUCCGUAGCAGGUCUGAGAGGAUGAUCUGCCACACUGGAACUGAGACACGGUCCAGACUCCUACGGGAGGCAGCAGUGGGGAAUUUUGGACAAUGGGGGCAACCCUGAUCCAGCCAUGCCGCGUGAGUGAAGAAGGCCUCGG
This 413-nucleotide ribosomal RNA is filed under the name bacterium enrichment culture clone ALO1_GLFRUDD03FJ3NA. RNAcentral describes it as "bacterial SSU rRNA". It matches the Rfam family "Bacterial small subunit ribosomal RNA", at positions 9 to 420 of the family's 1533-position model. The record is from RNAcentral.